UCCGGUUUGUCACCGGCAGUCUCGUUAAAGUGCCCAACUUAAUGAUGGCAAUUAACGACAAGGGUUGCGCUCGUUGCGGGACUUAACCCAACAUCUCACGACACGAGCUGACGACAGCCAUGCAGCACCUGUGUUCUGGUUCCCUUUCGGGCACACUCAAAUCUCUAAGAGCUUCCAGACAUGUCAAGGGUAGGUAAGGUUUUUCGCGUUGCAUCGAAUUAAUCCACAUCAUCCACCGCUUGUGCGGGUCCCCGUCAAUUCCUUUGAGUUUUAACCUUGCGGCCGUACUCCCCAGGCGGUCAACUUCACGCGUUAGCUCCGGUACUAAAAGGUUUUACCCUCCCAACACCUAGUUGACAUCGUUUAGGGCGUGGACUAC
This 379-nucleotide unclassified non-coding RNA is filed under the name uncultured Gammaproteobacteria bacterium. RNAcentral's name for it is "contains 16S-23S intergenic spacer region". The record is from RNAcentral. Lineage: Bacteria; Pseudomonadati; Pseudomonadota; Gammaproteobacteria.